This is a long non-coding RNA of Manihot esculenta (cassava), 3956 nucleotides long. RefSeq lists it as uncharacterized. NCBI's taxonomy places the organism in Eukaryota, Viridiplantae, Streptophyta, Magnoliopsida, Malpighiales, Euphorbiaceae. The record is from RefSeq and is a predicted model, not a curated record. The transcript is spliced from 2 exons.
AUGUAGUAUAUAUAUAUAUAUAUAUAGUGUAUCUCUUCUCUUUUUCUUUUUCCCUUAUAUCCGGAAACCUAAUGGAGUUUGAUUCUUUUAGAAGAUUAUUAUGCAAAAUUGGGGUUGGAGGAGUAUGAAGGGGGUAAGGAAUAGGGGGUUGGAUCGGCUGAUGUGGUGGAAGAGUUUGAUGAUUAUUGAUUUUGUGUUGUAGGGAAACUUCUACAACAGACCAUGGCUUCUGUUUGGCAACCUGUGAAGGUUAUGACAGGGAAAGAUCUUGAGGGAAAUAGGUAUGUUUUCAAUUUCUUUCAUGCACUGGAUGUAGAACGUGUAUUAGCAGAAGGUCCUUGGAGUUUUCAGCGAAAUUUUUUGUUGUUGAAAUCACUUAAGCAAAAUGAGAAUCCACAUGCUGUGGUUUUCUUUAAAGCUAAAUUCUGGGUUCAAGUGUAUGGUUUAGUUUCUGGGUUGCGAUCAGAGCAUGUGUUGAAGGAUGUGGGAGGUUAUGCUGGAGAGUUUUUAGAGUCUGAUGCUAGAAAUUUUAAAGGGGGGUGGAAAACCUACUAUAGGGUGCGGGUGGAAAUAGACGUUAGGAAGCCAUUGAAGAGGAAGAUGAAAUUACGGAAAACAGGUCAGAAUGGGUGUGGGUGAAUUUUAAAUAUGAAAGGUUACCGACCUUUUGAUUUUUCUGUGGUGUGAUUGGACACUCUGACCGUGUUUUAAUUGCAAAAUUCAUAUUCCUAAAGACAAGUAUCUCUUUGGUGAAUGGCUGAGAGCUCCUACGAGAAAGAUUACCAAUGUGGGAUCACGGUGGUUGAGGGAGGAAGGUGGUGGCUGGUCGGAGGAGAAAUCAUCAUAGCAUGCACCGAUGGAGGAUGAUUUGGUUCCUGAAACUGUGCAAAAGGGAAUCCAGAUUCGAAAUUCAAACGAUGGAGGGAUAAGGGAUGAGUUUGUUAAGGUAGGUAACGUGUUAGUGAAGGAUGGAGCGGUUGGUGUUAUUAUUACGGAAUUAAAGCGACGUCGUACUGAGGAGAAUGUGGCUAAUGAUUCGGAGUCUAUUGAAUCUGUUGAGGAAUAUGGAGAGGGGCUAAAAAACUGCGGGUCCUGGACAUCAGGCCCGCCUAGCCAUAUAACGUGUUUAAGCUGGAAUUGUCGGGGGCUUGGGAACCAAGCUUCAGUUUGAGAGCUAAAUGAUAUUGUAACUGAUAAGCGGCCCAAAAUGUUAUUUUUAAUGGAAACUUUAAUACAAAAAAAUAAAGUUCGACGAAUAAAAUCGCUACUGGGGUUUGAAGGAUGUUUUGCGGUAGACCCAGUGGGGAGGUGCGGUGGUUUGUUGCUGUUUUGGAAGGAGAAGAGUUCUGUUAGUUUAAUUAGCUAUUCUAAGAAUCAUAUUAAUGUAGCUGUUAGAGAAUAUGUUAUACGGGCUUGGCGGUUCACAGGGUUUUACGGCUUUCCUGAAAGUACUAGAAGAAGGGGAGUCGUGGGUUUUUCUGAAAUCGUUAAAGUCCAAAUCCACACUACCCUAGUGUGUGAUGGGAGACUUUAAUGAUUUGCUGUCUAAUAGGGAGAAGGUGGGUGGUGUGCCAAGAGCUAGAUGGUUGAUAGAAGGUUUUUGGGAGGCAGUGUGGGAGGCGGGUUUGUCUGAUGUUGCUUUUGAUGGUGAUUUGUUUAUGUGAGAAACUGGAAGAGAGUCUGGAGAUUUAAUUCGACAACGACUUGAUAGAGCUUUAUCUUUGGCAACUUGGAAGACAUUUUUUCCAAACGCAGUCGUUACUACUUUAGAAACUGCAACUUCUUAUCAUAAUCCUUUAUUUUUUAAGUUGGGCGUUUCUGUGGUAGUGUACAAGCUAUGCCAUUUUCGGUUUGAGAAUAGUUGGAUAAGGGAUGAUGAUGUUAAACAAUUGAUUGUGGAAAAAUGGCAGCCUAAUGAAACUAUCCUUGUUGCUGAACGGAUUAAAAAUGUUAGGGGUGGUCUAAAAACAUGGAGCGUUGAGGAGAAAGCUGUUGUUCGGCGACACCUUGGUAUUUGUAAGCGGCAGAUGCGUGAUAAUCGUGGUGCUACAGAUGUUUUUUCGAAGCAAUUGUUUGUGAUUGCUAGAGCAGCUUAUAAUGACCUUCUAAAGCAACAAGAAGUUUUCUGGAGGCAGAGAGCAAAGUAGCUGUGGCUUUCUGCGGGUGAUCUGAAUACAAAAUAUUUUCAAGAUGUACCUUCUAACAGACGAAAGAAGAAUGUAUUUACUGUUUUGAAGAAUUCAGAAGGUUCGUGGGUUGAUAGGAAUUCAGGGCUUGAUGGUUUAAUUGUGGGUUAUUUUUCUGAUUUGUUUACAUCAAAUGGUAGUAAUAGCGCGCCAGUGUUAAAUUGUGUGGAAAGAAAAGUUACUGAGAUGCAUAAUGAAUUAUUGAUGUUGCCCUAUACUUGAGAGGAGAUCAAAGCUGCUAUUUUCAGUAUGCACCCUGAUAAAUCACGGGGCCCGGAUGGACUUUAAUCCUGAUUUUUACCAACAUUACUGGGAUGUUGUAGGGGAAGAGCUGGUAAAGAGUUGUUAAUUCGGACAGUUGCACAGUCUAUUCCUACGUACGUUAUGAGUGUAUUUUUGCUUCAUGUGGGAGUCUGUAGGUCCACUGAAACAAAGUUAAAUUAAUUUUGAUGGACCGGCGGUUCAAGUGGUAUAAGGUGGAUGCGUUGGAACCGUUUAUACUUGCCGAAGGAAGAUGGGGGAUUGGAUUUUAGGAAGUUUAGGGAGUUUAAUAUGACCUUGGUUGCUAAGCAAGGAUGGCAGAUUUUAAUUCAACCCCAUACUUUGAUUUCACACCUUUUAAAGGCGAAAUAUUUUCCUCAAUGUCGGUUUUUUGAAGCAGCAAAUCUGAGUUUCUUCUAGAGUAGUGUUAUGCAGACAAUGGAUGUUUUGCGACGUGGUUGUAGGAGGAAGAUAUUUUUCAGGCUCACAAACUGAUGUGUGGAAGGAUCCAUGGCUUUUGAAUGAGGAUUCCCCGUUUGUUCAGUCUGAAAAUAACACGGGUGUUGAGAAUAUUUGUGUUGCUGAUUCUUUUCUCCCUGAAGGGGAAUGGAAUGUGGAGCUUAUUAAUGAUAUUUUUAAUCCUAGAGACAAAAAAGCUGUUCUGCAAAUCCCAAAUGUGGCAUGAUCUUUCCAAGAAGAUGGGUGGUUUUGGAAGUUUACAAAGAAUGGUGGCUAUUCAGUCAAGAGUGGCUAUAGAUUGUUAACAAAACCAGUAAGUGGAGCUGCCCAAAAUAUUCAGCAGGUUUGGAAUGCAAUUUGGCGAAUUUCGGUCCUACCAAAAAUUAAGAAUUUCUUAUGGCGGGUGCUGCAUAAUGUACUUCCAACUUGUUCAAUUUUAGUUCAGAAACAGGUGGCAGUUCAAGUGUUUUGUCCAGUUUGUGAGCAAGAACCAGAGUCAAUCGAACAUGUGUUGUUGCUGUCUGGUUUUACUAGAGGAGUCUGGUUGGUGCUUAAUAAUCUGCAGGUACAAACUCAGAUUUCGUUAUGGGAAUGGGUUUCUCAUUUAUUACAGCAGCAACUUAUGAUGGAGAUGGCUAAAAUUGGUUCGGUUCUUUACGAGUUAUGACUGAAUCGAAACUGAACAGUUUAGAAAGGAAAAGCAAGAACUGAGGUUGAGGUUGUUCGGUUGGCAUUGCAGAAGCUGAGUGAAUGGAGAGAGGCACAGAGUAAGCAUGUAAGUGCCCCAUCUUCUUCUUUAAUUGCUGAAACACCGUGGAGACCUCCUGGAAAUGGGGGCUCUUUAAAUGCAAUGUUGAUUUGAGAAAUGGACAAGCUGGUUAUGCUUUUGUUUGCCGUGAUAGUGUUGGUAAUUUUAUGCAAGCGGUGGCAGUCCCUUUAUUUACAGCUUUUGAGCCUUGUAUUGUGAGGCUAUGGGCGUCUUGGAGACCCUAAGUUGGAUCAAAACUGCUGGUUUGAACUCAGUAAUUGUGGAGACGGACUGUUUAAGCA